This 301-nucleotide ribosomal RNA is filed under the name uncultured bacterium. RNAcentral describes it as "partial 16S ribosomal RNA". It matches the Rfam family "Bacterial small subunit ribosomal RNA", at positions 509 to 807 of the family's 1533-position model. The record is from RNAcentral.
CAGCCGCCGCGGUAAUACGGAGGGUGCGAGCGUUAAUCGGAAUUACUGGGCGUAAAGCGCACGUAGGCGGAUAUUUAAGUCAGGGGUGAAAUCCUGGAGCUCAACUCCAGAACUGCCUUUGAUACUGGGUAUCUAGAGUCCGGAAGAGGUGAGUGGAACUCCUAGUGUAGAGGUGGAAUUCGUAGAUAUUAGGAAGAACACCAGUGGCGAAGGCGGCUCACUGGUCCGGUACUGACGCUGAGGUGCGAAAGCGUGGGGAGCAAACAGGAUUAGAGACCCCCGUAGUCCCUGUCUCUUAUAC